UACGUAGGGCGCGAGCGUUGUCCGGAAUUAUUGGGCGUAAAGAGCUCGUAGGCGGUCUGUCACGUCGGCUGUGAAAUCCCGAGGCUCAACCUCGGGUCUGCAGUCGAUACGGGCAAACUAGAGUAUUGCAGGGGAGACUGGAAUUCCUGGUGUAGCGGUGAAAUGCGCAGAUAUCAGGAGGAACACCGGUGGCGAAGGCGGGUCUCUGGGCAAUAACUGACGCUGAGGAGCGAAAGCGUGGGGAGCGAACAGG
This 253-nucleotide ribosomal RNA is filed under the name uncultured bacterium. Its description in RNAcentral is "partial 16S ribosomal RNA". It matches the Rfam family "Bacterial small subunit ribosomal RNA", at positions 524 to 776 of the family's 1533-position model. The record is from RNAcentral.